CUUCAACAAGGCACAGCUUUCUCAGCUUCCUUGGGAAAGGUAAAAUGAGAGGGAAGCUUGCAGCUUAGAGGUGAGCUCUGCCUCAUGGCAACCAGAGCUGAUGUCACAAUGGCAGCCAAUUCUAUGCUGAUAGUAGGUGGAAAGAUGAAACAAGUUCGGGCCAUGGAAGUGGAUGGAUCAAGAGACCAAGCACUCACUGGUCCCUAAAGGGGCAGCACUAGAAUACAUACCAGUUUCACCAUAGCUUUCAGAAGGACAACAGCAGAAGCCAGGGCAUGUGCUUCACUGAGGCUGUUAUUCUGCUGGGGAUGGCAUUACCUGCCCAAUCCAAACAUCAGUGAUGUCCACUCCUACCUAACCAGAGGAAACCAGUAUGAUCCAGAUCUUCAACAGCAGCCUUUAUCUUUUCUCAACCAAGAGUACAGUGUCCCUUGUAAACUAAUCCAGUGGACGCCUUUGAUUACUUUUUCUCACAACUCCAGAUAGAGGUACCUGUUUAUACUCUCCGAACAUUCUGCCAGCAUCUUUCCCCAUCCCCCUUCUACCUGCCUUACACACAU
Molecule: long non-coding RNA, 560 nt
Organism: Microcebus murinus (gray mouse lemur)
Lineage: Eukaryota; Metazoa; Chordata; Mammalia; Primates; Cheirogaleidae
Source: RefSeq, a predicted model, not a curated record